ACACUCAGCUAAAGGCCAUUAAUUUCUGCCUGCUGAAGCUGUGAGAAAGCUCAGACUUCCAUCCCUACAUUGUUGAGAACUGGCAAUGUUACAAAGAAGAAACCCCUCAAGACUAUCCGACCAAACAUUUCGUCUCUGAGAAAUGUUCACUCACCCCAGGGUGUGGAACUGAAGGAGUAUUGGUGCCAGUGUCUCCAGACAAGCCUUCUGCAGGAAGCCCUGUGCUUUACCACGAGAGUUUUCUCCAGGGUCAGAGACAGUGGAAGUCGCACUGAAACACUGGAAAACAUUACAUGCAAGAAAAUUCUUAGAAUUGAAUUCUGGUGUGAGUAAUGAAAUAUUUCCCUUUGCAAAAAAAUCA
RNAcentral lists this long non-coding RNA (361 nucleotides) under Homo sapiens (human). Its description in RNAcentral is "HSALNT0346777". Lineage: Eukaryota; Metazoa; Chordata; Mammalia; Primates; Hominidae. The record is from RNAcentral.